AACGGUCUAUACCUGCGGUACCUGCGGAGGGAUCAUUACCGAGUUCUCGCCCCUCGCGGGGUAGACCUCCCACCCACUGUGAUCACUACCGUCGUUGCUUUGGCGGGCCGCUGGGCCCAGCCCACCGCCGGCUCCGGCUGGCGCGUGCCCGCCAGAGGCCCUACAAACGCUGGAUAUCAGUGCCGUCUGAGUACACAUGUUAAUCGUUAAAACUUUCAGCAAUGGAUCUCUAGAUCGGAA
This 240-nucleotide unclassified non-coding RNA is filed under the name soil metagenome. Its description in RNAcentral is "partial contains 5.8S ribosomal RNA, internal transcribed spacer 2, and large subunit ribosomal RNA". The record is from RNAcentral.